GCCUGGGUGGCUUAGUCGGUUAAGCAUCUGACUUUGGCUCAGGUAAUAAUCACAGUUCGUGGCUUCGAGCCCCAUUUAGGCC
Molecule: transfer RNA, 82 nt
Filed under: Felis catus (domestic cat)
Lineage: Eukaryota; Metazoa; Chordata; Mammalia; Carnivora; Felidae
Also listed under: 2 other names
Rfam family: tRNA
About the family: Transfer RNA (tRNA) molecules are approximately 80 nucleotides in length.
Source: Rfam by way of RNAcentral